AACGAACGCUGGCGGCAGGCCUAACACAUGCAAGUCGAGCGCGCCCUUCGGGGUGAGCGGCGGACGGGUGAGUAACGCGUGGGAACGUGCCCUUUUCUACGGAAUAGCCUCGGGAAACUGAGAGUAAUACCGUAUACGCCCUUUGGGGGAAAGAUUUAUCGGAAAAGGAUCGGCCCGCGCUGGAUUAGGUAGUUGGUGGGGUAAUGGCCUACCAAGCCGACGAUCCAUAGCUGGUUUGAGAGGAUGAUCAGCCACACUGGGACUGAGACACGGCCCAGACUCCUACGGGAGGCAGCAGUGGGGAAUCUUAGACUAUGGGGGCAACCCUGAUCUAGCCAUGCCGCGUGAGUGAUGAAGGCCUUAGGGUUGUAAAGCUCUUUCAGCUGGGAAGAUAAUGACGGUACCAGCAGAAGAAGCCCCGGCUAACUCCGUG
This 433-nucleotide ribosomal RNA is filed under the name uncultured bacterium. RNAcentral's name for it is "partial 16S ribosomal RNA". It matches the Rfam family "Bacterial small subunit ribosomal RNA", at positions 29 to 507 of the family's 1533-position model. The record is from RNAcentral.